Small RNA from Shigella dysenteriae Sd197, 120 nucleotides. It matches the Rfam family "RnaG sRNA". Rfam says of the family: It is 450 nt long and it contains a region with specific secondary structure that interacts with icsA mRNA and forms a transcription terminator. Acting as antisense, RnaG is transcribed from the complementary strand of its target, icsA mRNA. NCBI's taxonomy places the organism in Bacteria, Pseudomonadati, Pseudomonadota, Gammaproteobacteria, Enterobacterales, Enterobacteriaceae. The record is from Rfam.
GUGGUUGAUAAACCCCUAAAAAGAUUCCGUUUUAUCCGGAAUAAAGGGACGAUAUAUGCAAAAACAUAUUAAACAAAGCCUCAACCAAAACAUGAGAGCUGUGUUAUAUAUCAAUGCAAC